AUGAGGCCUCUGGAGAUUGGCUUGACUUUCUUGUGGCUCACUCCAAUGGACAGAUUAUCACAACUGCCCAGCCCCAGCCCUGAUGUCUCUGGAAUUUGGCUUGACUUUCCCAUGCCUCCCCCAUCCAGAUUGGCUGCAAGUCUAAUGAAGACCCAAAUGGUAUUGGAUAGGAUAUGUAAGGACCUUCUUCUGGUGGGAGAGACAGAUCCCAGAGGAUCCAGGUACCUGGAGAAGACUGUCCGAACCACUGAGCCAUGAAAAUAUCUUCAAGAAAGAAGCUUGAAAUUCCUAAAUCCAGAGAAUGAAUUGUUGCAGAAAAAUACCGGAAAACCUACACUUCAUCAAGAAGAAUCAGAAUGAAACUUGGGUAUGAUUGAUUGAACUGAACUUUGAUUGAACAUUUAUUAUAAAUGUACACAUUUAUGCCAAAAGGGACUGCCCUUAAUUUGGCUUUCUGUCAAUGCGCCUAGCAAAACAUUGGUUUUGCUUUCUUUUCUAUUUCCUCCCUCACUAUUCUAAUUUCUCUUAAAAAUUGAAUGUUGUGUAUAUCUAUAGUUAGAAGUGCAUUUAGAACUACAAAUUGAUUAUGUUAAAUGACCAAUGGGGAGACUAGUCUCCCAAUGAUCAUCAGGGGGGAUUGUGAAUUUUGAAAUUUCUC
RNAcentral lists this long non-coding RNA (658 nucleotides) under Monodelphis domestica (gray short-tailed opossum). Its description in RNAcentral is "lncRNA (ENSMODG00000043183.1)". The record is from RNAcentral. Lineage: Eukaryota; Metazoa; Chordata; Mammalia; Didelphimorphia; Didelphidae.